RNAcentral lists this ribosomal RNA (547 nucleotides) under uncultured bacterium. RNAcentral describes it as "bacterial SSU rRNA". It matches the Rfam family "Bacterial small subunit ribosomal RNA", at positions 777 to 1319 of the family's 1533-position model. The record is from RNAcentral.
AAUAGAUACCCAGGUAGUCCACGCCGUAAACGAUGAGUGCUAAGUGUUAGGGGGUUUCCGCCCCUUAGUGCUGCAGCUAACGCAUUAAGCACUCCGCCUGGGGAGUACGGUCGCAAGACUGAAACUCAAAGGAAUUGACGGGGGCCCGCACAAGCGGUGGAGCAUGUGGUUUAAUUCGAAGCAACGCGAAGAACCUUACCAGGUCUUGACAUCCCAUUGACCACUAUGGAGACAUAGUUUUCCCUUCGGGGACAACGGUGACAGGUGGUGCAUGGUUGUCGUCAGCUCGUGUCGUGAGAUGUUGGGUUAAGUCCCGCAACGAGCGCAACCCUUGUUCUUAGUUGCCAUCAUUUAGUUGGGCACUCUAAGGAGACUGCCGGUGACAAACCGGAGGAAGGUGGGGAUGACGUCAAAUCAUCAUGCCCCUUAUGACCUGGGCUACACACGUGCUACAAUGGACGGUACAAACGGUUGCCAACCCGCGAGGGGGAGCUAAUCCGUAUAAAAACCCGUUCUCAGUUCGGAUUGUAGGCUGCAACUCGCCUAC